UACGGAGGGGCUAGCGUUGUUCGGAAUUACUGGGCGUAAAGCGCACGUAGGCGGCUUUGUAAGUUAGAGGUGAAAGCCCGGGGCAUCAACUCCGGAAUUGCCUUUAAGAGCUGCAUCGCUAGAAUUGUGGAGAGGUAAGUGGAAUUCCGAGUGUAGAGGUGAAAUUCGUAGAUAUUGGAAGAACACCAGUGGCGAAGGCGGACUUACUGGACACAUAUUGACGCUGAGGUGGCGAAAGCGUGGGGAGCAAACAGG
Molecule: ribosomal RNA, 255 nt
Filed under: uncultured bacterium
Lineage: Bacteria
Description: partial 16S ribosomal RNA
Rfam family: Bacterial small subunit ribosomal RNA
Source: RNAcentral